Molecule: ribosomal RNA, 440 nt
Filed under: uncultured bacterium
Lineage: Bacteria
Description: partial 16S ribosomal RNA
Rfam family: Bacterial small subunit ribosomal RNA
Source: RNAcentral
CCUACGGGAGGCAGCAGUGGGGAAUAUUGCACAAUGGGGGAAACCCUGAUGCAGCGACGCCGCGUGAGCGAAGAAGUAUUUUGGUAUGUAAAGCUCUAUCAGCAGGGAAGAAAAGGAAGGUACCUGAUUAAGAAGCCACGGCUAACUACAUUCCAGCAGCCGCGGUAAUACGGAGGGGGCCAGCGUUAUCCGGAUUUACUGGGUGUAAAGGGAGCGUAGACGGGAGCACAAGUCUGGAGUGAAAUGCCGGGGCUUAACCCCAGAACUGCUUUGGAAACUGUGCAGCUAGAGUGCAGGAGAGGUAAGUGGAAUUCCUGGUGUAGCGGUGAAAUGCGUAGAUAUUAGGAGGAACACCGGUGGCGAAGGCGGCUUACUGGACUGUAACUGACGUUGAGGCUCGAAAGCGUGGGGAGCAAACAGGAUUAGAUACCCUUGUAGUC